RNA transcript from Panthera uncia (snow leopard), 8540 nucleotides. It is a transcript of the gene named ArfGAP with coiled-coil, ankyrin repeat and PH domains 2, with no coding region annotated. The record is from RefSeq and is a predicted model, not a curated record. Lineage: Eukaryota; Metazoa; Chordata; Mammalia; Carnivora; Felidae. The transcript is spliced from 23 exons.
CUGUGGCCGCCGCUCAGCUGGGGGCGGGAGGAAGAGGGGCCGGACUGGGGCCUGACGAGCCGCCGCUGCCGCCACCGUCUUCGCGGCUGCUAUGACCAGCGGACGAGGCGCCCUCCGCAGCUCCGCGCAGCGCUAGUCGCGGCCGUGCGCCCGCCGUAGCUGUCUGUCCCCAGCGCAGCCGCUCCCGCGGCUCCCUCGGCUCUUCUCGCGCCGCCUGCGAGGCGAGGCGGAGGCAGGAUGAAGAUGACGGUGGAUUUCGAAGAGUGUCUGAAGGACUCGCCCCGCUUCAGGGCUGCUUUGGAAGAAGUAGAAGGAGAUGUGGCAGAAUUGGAACUAAAACUUGAUAAGCUUGUGAAACUUUGUAUCGCAAUGAUUGAUACCGGAAAGGCCUUUUGUGUUGCAAAUAAACAAUUCAUGAAUGGGAUUCGAGACCUGGCACAAUAUUCUAGUAAUGAUGCUGUAGUUGAGACAAGUUUAACCAAGUUUUCUGACAGUCUUCAAGAAAUGAUAAAUUUUCACACAAUCCUAUUUGACCAAACUCAGAGAUCAAUUAAAGCACAGCUUCAGAACUUUGUUAAAGAAGACCUUAGAAAAUUCAAAGAUGCCAAGAAGCAAUUUGAAAAAGUCAGUGAAGAAAAAGAAAAUGCAUUAGUAAAAAAUGCUCAAGUACAAAGAAACAAACAGCACGAAGUUGAGGAAGCCACAAACAUUUUGACAGCAACAAGAAAAUGUUUUCGACAUAUAGCCCUCGACUAUGUACUUCAGAUUAAUGUCCUUCAAUCAAAACGAAGAUCAGAAAUCCUAAAAUCAAUGUUAUCUUUUAUGUAUGCCCAUUUGGCCUUCUUCCAUCAAGGAUAUGAUCUAUUCAGUGAACUUGGGCCCUACAUGAAGGAUCUUGGUGCACAGUUGGAUCGACUGGUUGUAGAUGCAGCAAAGGAGAAAAGAGAGAUGGAGCAAAAACAUUCCACCAUUCAACAAAAGGAUUUCUCCAGUGAUGAUUCUAAGUUAGAAUAUAAUGUAGAUGCUGCAAAUGGCAUUGUUAUGGAAGGAUAUCUGUUCAAACGAGCCAGCAAUGCCUUCAAAACUUGGAACAGACGCUGGUUUUCAAUACAGAACAAUCAGCUGGUAUAUCAGAAAAAGUUUAAGGAUAACCCCACCGUGGUAGUGGAAGAUCUAAGGCUGUGCACAGUGAAACACUGUGAAGACAUAGAACGACGUUUCUGCUUUGAGGUAGUCUCUCCAACAAAAAGUUGUAUGCUUCAGGCAGAUUCUGAAAAACUGCGCCAGGCAUGGAUUAAGGCUGUUCAGACCAGUAUUGCUACUGCUUAUAGAGAGAAGGGUGAUGAAUCAGAGAAGCUGGAUAAGAAAUCAUCUCCAUCCACAGGAAGCCUGGAUUCUGGAAAUGAGUCAAAAGAUAAAUCGUUGAAAGGAGAAAGUGCACUGCAGCGAGUCCAGAGUAUCCCUGGCAAUGCCAGCUGUUGUGACUGUGGUCUGGCGGACCCACGGUGGGCCAGCAUCAACCUGGGCAUCACCCUGUGUAUCGAGUGUUCUGGGAUUCACCGGAGUCUUGGAGUUCAUUUUUCAAAAGUACGAUCUUUAACUUUAGAUACCUGGGAGCCUGAACUUUUGAAGCUUAUGUGUGAAUUGGGAAAUGAUGUUAUAAACCGAGUUUAUGAAGCUAAAGUGGAAAAAAUGGGAAUAAAGAAACCACAACCAGGACAAAGACAGGAGAAAGAGACAUAUAUCAAAGCAAAAUAUGUGGAGAGGAAAUUUGUGGAUAAAUAUUCUAUAUCAUCAUCACCUCCUGAGCAGGAAAAAAGGAUUGUCUCCAAAAGUUGCGAAGAAAAGAGGCUGAGCAUUUCUAAACUUGGGCCAGGUGACCAAGUCAGAGUACCUCCCCCAAGUUCAGUUAAAAGUAAUGAUAGUGGAAUCCAGCAGAUUUCUGAUGAUGGAAGAGAAUCUUUACCCUCGACAGUGUCUGCCAAUAGUUUAUAUGAGACUGAAGGAGAAAGGCAAGAUUCUUCUGUGUUUCUCGACUCUAAACAUCUUAAUCCGGGACUCCAGCUUUAUAGGGCUUCAUAUGAAAAAAAUCUUCCUAAAAUGGCUGAGGCUUUGGCUCAUGGUGCAGAUGUGAACUGGGCUAAUUCAGAGGAAAAUAAAGCAACACCACUUAUUCAGGCUGUAUUAGGGGGUUCUUUGGUGACAUGCGAGUUUCUUCUACAGAAUGGUGCUAAUGUGAACCAAAGAGAUGUGCAAGGGCGGGGCCCACUGCACCAUGCCACUGUCUUGGGGCACACAGGGCAGGUAUGUUUAUUCCUAAAACGAGGUGCCAAUCAACAUGCCACUGAUGAAGAAGGGAAAGACCCUUUGACUAUAGCUGUGGAAGCAGCCAAUGCUGAUAUAGUGACCUUGUUACGUUUAGCAAGAAUGAAUGAAGAGAUGCGGGAAUCAGAAGGACUUUAUGGACAGCCAGGUCAAUAUUCUACUAAUAACCAUACUGAAAUGCAGUAUAAGAAAUGCAUUCAGGAAUUUAUUAGUUUACAAUUGGAAGAUUCAUAGUUCUUUAGCAGAGUGGCUUAAUAUUCUGGAGUUUUUAUAACUUACUUGUAAAUUGUGAGUUGUUAUGUAUUGUACUUACUGAAUUCUCGGGAGCGGCUAACUCCCGAGCCUUUAGAGGUCCGUAACUAUUCCUAUUACAGUACACAUUUACUUGCUGUGUUCAACUUUGGCUGCUGACUUCUUUACCUGCUGUACAGAUGUCUUCCAUAUACAUUCCAGUGACGUGGAUGGAAUGGUGACCUAUAUUUAUACCCUCACAGCAGCACAAUGGUCAUUUUCAUUUUGGAAUUCUCUUUAGCUGUCAAGUGAAUAUAACAGAAUUGUUUUCUUUUUGUUAUUCAGGGAAUUUCUAUGAAUUGCGUUCAGGGAAAAAUACAAAUCACCAUGUGUUUGGCAUAUAAAAAGUCAGUAUGGAAAAUGCCUAGAAAAAAGUUUAUUGAAUUAAGAGUUUUGUACUCUGAUCUAAAGAUAAGUUUUAGAGUUAAAAAUAAAAUCUACUAGUAGUUUAAGAAGCCCGGAAUGGGAAUGGAGUUAGUUUAAAAGGUAUAGAGAAAAGGUCUCACUUUGCCUUGUAGCUUUGCCCCAAGCAAUUGUACAUUAUCUGUUGGGUAAAUGUAAGUAUUUAGAACAGUAUUUCAUGAACCUGAUGGUAAAGUAAACUUGUUAGAGAAAUCUCAACUCAGGAUCAGCCCAAGUCUCAUUUUGUGUAAUUUUCACCUUUGAGUCAGGAUGUCAAGAAAAGGAAGAAAUGUUGCUAAUCAGAUUCCUUUCUUUGAGGAACACAUCCUAAUUAGACAUUCUUCACGAAGAAAAGAGUAAUCAUUGGAUCUCCAGUUUCAUGAAUUUGAAUAUAUGAAUUCCUAAUUUAUCUGUUUUAAAUUCAUAUAAGUAUUAGUAAAGGAUUUCAGGAAUUCAUGACUAAAAUAAUUGUAAUGUUAGUUUUUAAUAAGUAUAUUUAACUUUUAAAAAUGAAUAUUAAUGUGUUAUUUUAAAAGUGGCUUGGUAAUAUCAUCUAUUCUUCCUGUUUAAAUAUGUUUUGAGAUUUCUGUAUUUUAUGCUAGCUUCAGCCAUUAACCUUUACAUAACUGGAUUAGUAUAUAAUUAAUAUGGGGCCAUUCUUUUCUCGGAGGACUGUAUUUACUACUUCUUGUUGGUCUAGUUUAAUAGGGAACAAGUAAGAACUUUGAGAACAGAGACACUUCAGCUAGAUACUUCUAAUCUAGGGUGUCCCACUUUAAUCCUAUGGAUCAGACAAUACUACUGACUCAUGAUACACCAAGAUGUAAGAGUGCUGAUUAAGGGUGAAGUCUCAGCAUUAAUUCUGAAUUUCACCCAUUUGUUUUAAACUUGAAUGUUAGAUUUUAAAUAAGUUAUAAUUUUGUAACAGAUAUACUUAAGUGAGGGUAUUACUAGGCCAUUUUUAAGGCCUUUGUGUUUAAGCACUUUAAAAAUAAAAAUUAUUCAAAGGAUACAACCUGAUAUUUGUGAGGUAAGAGUGAACUUCAAGAUUUUAAGUUAAACAAUUCUUUUUCCUGACAUUUGAAACUUAAAUGUUUGGUCAGCUGUUCUUUCCUUGAGCAGUUUGCUGAUGAAGUUACACCCAACUGAUUAGUCAUAAGGUCAGUGGUCAACUUUCCUUCGGAGUUGGGAAACUUGAAAGGACAGGGCCUCUAUGUUCUUGUGACUUCUAGUUCCACCCAGAUUGCUUGGGCUUCUUCUGCCACCAUUUAGGAGCAUUCGAAUGUCUCUUUCACUGCCGUUUUAUGUAUAAGUUUAUGGGUAUGCAUCUUCCAUUCCCCAGUAGAAAAAUGAAUUUUUCCAAUUUAUUUGACCGAAAAAUGUUUUAAAAGCCUCAUUUUGGGGUGUCUGGGUGGCUCAGUCGGUUAAGUGUCUGACUUCUGCUCAGGUCACCAUCUCACAGUUUGUGGGUUCAAGCCCCAUGUCGGGCUCGCUGCUGUCAGCGCAGAGCCCGCUUUGGAUCCUCUGUCCCCCCUCUCUCUGCCCCCCAAUUCUCAUGUGCUCUCUCUCUCAAAAAUAAAUAAACAUUAAAAAAGCCUCAAAAAAAAAAAAAAAACAACAAACCAGGCUUUUCCACCACUCUCAAAUUUUAGAGAUUAAAAAUAGAUCAGAAUUCUGGAAAUGGUGUAUCAGAAGAAUAAAAUGGGAUUUUGAUCUAUUUGGGGAUGAUCUUGAUGAUAGAUUUUCAACCCAUUUAGAAGGUCUCACAUGCAAAGCAGAGCAACUUUAUACUUACACAGGUGACGCGGUGAAAUGGCACAGCAAUUGCUCCCUGGCUACUUUUCUUUUCCUUCACAAGUCUUUGGAGAACAGAUAUGUUAGCUCAGGCAGUAGGGUCUUUCUUUCCCCUCCACUUGUCACUGUUAUUUUUCUCUCAUUGAUUUUGGUUGAUUGUCUUAUCUAGAUCCUUUUGUUGUUGUUGCCUAGCAAUACCUCAGAAAUUUGGGUAAUUUUAAAAUGCAGGUAUUUUCGAUCUUUUGAUAAUGAAGAGCCCUAUUAUUUAAAAGACUCAGAUAUAAUCUUUGGGAAUCGUGGAUUUAUUUCUAAGAAACCACACUUCUGAACCUUCUAUAUACAACCCUAAGGACCUGAAACUUUCUAUUUUUUGCAAGGCGAUAUAAGAGCACACGUUUCCUGAAGGGAAGAUCUAUCCCUCUUUAUCAGUUCCUACAACUCUUAAGAGGACUGGGUGAGUGAGUGAAAUAUCACGCCCCGCCCUCAGUCGUUGGAAACCACUUUGGUGGUUCCCACAGUCUCUGGUUCCAUGACUCCCCUUGAUUGUUGGCAGAGUUUCUCAGCCAGUUGAAAAUCACCACUUUAGUGAGCCGCUACUGGUUAUGCAAGUAUGUCGCUAGCAAAGGUUGGUCCCUGAUCUAAUUAUUUGUAUAAAGGAAGCUGUAAUCAGCCCAGGAAGGGCGGGAUCAUAUACUUGAUCACCUAGAGGUGGGGUCUCACAUGCUGCUGUCUCUUUGAGGGGAGUGCAUUUCGAGAGCAAAAUCAACAAGUCUUGGAUCAUCAUCAUUGCUGUUACAAUGGAUAUUCUGAAUACCAAAAAUCAAAAACUAUUUUGAACUAUCAGUGGACAUACAGAAGUCCACAUUUUAAAAAUUCUGAACUGUCUGGGCACAUGGAAAAGUUAACCUUAUGAAGAGAAAUAGAAUAUGAUUAAGUAAUUUAAAGGAUAUAACUUAGCAUUACAAAUAUUGGGUGAUUAGUUGCUUAUCGUUUGUAAUAAACUGUUAAAUGUGCUUACGUGAGCUUUCCAGGGCAGCGAAUUAUGGGUUAUUGUUUAUGUAUGCUAGUGUAGACAAGUUAUAUUGCCUUGGGAAAAAUUCUAAAUGAUUAGAAUUAUAUUUAAAUUUCAAGGAAUCACAUUGAAGCUCAAUUUAUGUUAACUAUAUUAAAUAUCUUAGUCACUAUUGUUAUUGUAAUGUUUGUUUUUUGAUAAUAUAUUUUGAGGCCUAAGAAAGGUAUUUUAUUGAUAGUCCAUUAAUUAAUGUUUUGUUAGAAACUGAAUGUUAACAGAAAGUUUUGUGUGUGUGGAAGGUGAGACUUCCUUUUGUCUUGUAUUAGCUCUAAAAUGUAUUCGUGAAACCAAUGAUUAGUGUAGCACCAACACUUUCCUUCAAGGAAGCAUUUAAUUCAGUGAAUAAAAGAUCUUAUAAUUUGUUUUGCAUGGUACAAUGGUUCUACUAAAAUGUACUCGUGUAAUAGGUACUAGAUGAUUUAAGAACAAAAGCUGGAAAACCACAAAAAAGAAAAACCCUACAGUUUGUUAUACAAAAUAUGCAUUGCUAAUAGUAGAAGCCAUAUAUUGCCAUUGUACUGUUGUAAUACUUACGAAUGCUCAUCUGGUGCUAUCUGUAAAGUAUUUGGCAUUAGCGUCUGCUAGAUCCUUCUUCCUAUUUCUUCUUGAAUGUAUAAUGUGUGCCUUUUAAGUUACUUCUGGUGUUGAAUGGUAAAAUCAGUGUGUUAUUUUUGUAUUAUAACCUGCACUUUACACUUCCUUGGAAAGUAAAAUUCCAGACUCUCAAGUUUAAAUAGUAUUUUAAAAAUCUUUAUAAUGUUUACAAUAAAUAUUUUCAAUAUUUUAAUUCAACAUCUAAGAAUACGAAUUUUUAAAUAUUUUGUAUAGUUUGUUAAUAUUUAAUGUUGGUCUCUUCUCAGUUUAUUUUAUAUCUUUUAGAAUGGCUAAAAAUGGGAAUAGGUUUGUAGUUUGUCUUUUAACAUGGGAGUUUACCUUUUAGAAAAUCAUGGGUGUAAUUGGAUUGUCUUAACCGUUGUUCCAGUAUAUCAAAUUUCAUUUUUAUUGUUUCAAUAACAUGAUAUGAGUUAGAUGCUACUCUUAACCAACUAUCAAGAUUUUCUUCUUACUGUAUUUUUUCUUUUUAAAGUAGAUUGAUUCAGGUCAUGAGAAAAUUUCCAGGACUAAAUGAAAACUAUAUAGAGAUUUUAAUAACUUGCUUUUUACAUAGACUAAAUGUUAAAAGUGACUAAAGGUUAAAAGUAUUAACUUUUUUUAUUGAAAAUCUUGAAUUAUGCUGUUAGACCUUUAUACUAGAUCUUUAUCCCCCUCCCCCACCUUUUUUCUGAUUCUCUAGCUUUUGGUGUAUGACACCUAUUGCCUCAAAAAUCUUGCUUUUUAAAAGCUGAUAAAAUCAACUGCACUAUUAACAAUUGUAGCAAUGAGUUUGUAAUAAGAUGGAUGCAAGAUAUCUUAUGGAAAAUAAUUAUAAAACCAUGCUGCAACAAUAAUCAUUUAAAACACUUUUGACGGUUUAAAUCUUGAAAACAGAGCUAUGCUAAGUUUCUGUGUAAACCUAACGUCUGUCAGAAGUAUAUAUGAUGAAAGAUUGAUCUUGAAAAUGAGAUUUUACUUUAUACAAAUCCUUGGUCUGAGGAAUUAAUCUUUAUGUGUGCAUAUAACUAGUUUGUCAUGGCAAGAAAAAUAGUAUUCAGUUGGCUAUAGUAUCAGUAUCUACAAUCUACUUCUCUACGAGCCUAUUUGUAUGUACGUACAUACAUGCCUUAUGCUAAUUUAACCGACAUCUUUGGUGUUUAUUCCCCUUUGUCAUAGCAUUCUUGCUCAUAUGACCUACAGUAAGCAAAACACUUCUGACGAAAUAGGAAACUGAUCUUACAGUCCUUUUCUAGGCUUUAUUAUUCUAUAAGCUCCGUAAGCAGUGGAUUAGGUGUAUUACUUUUAGUUAAGUUUGAGUAAAGAAUUUCUUUUUCACAUGCUAUUUAAAUUAAAAUGCCUUUUAGCUCAAAGAUAAUUAUUAAAAUAGGAUUUUUUUUUUUUUUUGCUCACCUGGUUAUCAGUUUUGUCUUAUUAAUAACUUGCAUCCAUCAGAAGCAUUAGUAUUUGUUAUUGGUCUUUUCUUUUGGCCUUGAUCAAGGGAAAUAUUUAUUUAAAGAAUGCCUUGUUUACUAUACCUCAUUUAGAAUGACUUUUAUUUCUAUGUAAAUAAAUGUAUUUCUUUAUAUUGCUCUAAAACACUUGCAUCUUUGCUCUUUUCUAACUCUGAGCUUUCCUCUGUGGCUGCCUCUGAGGUGCUUUUCUCAGGUAUAGCUGUUUCUUUUCUUUCACUAUGUGCUUUUCUAGCAUUUAUAUUUAGUGGGUCUUUUUUUCUCCCCAAUAUGCUCAUCUGAGUAAAAUUUGAGUAUGGUUAAUUAUAAUAUAGUUACUAGCCAUAAAAUGAAUGUUGUUUAUUAACACUUUCACUGUAUAAAUUUUAAAAGUGUCUUUAUUUUACUUUCAUGCAGGUGAUGAAACCUACCAGGAUAUUUUUCGUGAUUUUUCCCAAAUGGCAUCCAAUAAUCCAGAGAAACUAAAUCGUUUCCAACAAGAUUCACAGAAAUUCUGAGUUUUUUUAAAGAAGGGGAAAAGAUUAAAUUGAAUGAUCCCCUAAUGUACUAAUGUGUACGUCUGAAAACUCACAAAUUUUUACUGCCUUAAAUCU